This 787-nucleotide ribosomal RNA is filed under the name uncultured bacterium. Its description in RNAcentral is "bacterial SSU rRNA". It matches the Rfam family "Bacterial small subunit ribosomal RNA", at positions 505 to 1326 of the family's 1533-position model. The record is from RNAcentral.
GUGCCAGCAGCCGCGGUAAUACGUAGGGCGCAAGCGUUAUCCGGAAUUAUUGGGCGUAAAGAGCUCGUAGGCGGUUUGUCGCGUCUGCCGUGAAAGUCCGGGGCUCAACUCCGGAUCUGCGGUGAGUACGGGCAGACUAGAGUGAUGCAGGGGAGACUGGAAUUCCUGGUGUAGCGGUGAAAUGCGCAGAUAUCAGGAGGAACACCGAUGGCGAAGGCAGGUCUCUGGGCAUUAACUGACGCUGAGGAGCGAAAGCAUGGGGAGCGAACAGGAUUAGAUACCCUGGUAGUCCAUGCCGUAAACGUUGGGCACUAGGCGUGGGGGACAUUCCACGUUUUCCGCGCCGUAGCUAACGCAUUAAGUGCCCCGCCUGGGGAGUACGGCCGCAAGUCUAAAACUCAAAGGAAUUGACGGGGGCCCGCACAAGCGGCGAGCAUGCGGAUUAAUUUCGAUGCAACGCGAAGAACCUUACCAAGGCUUGACAUGAACCGGAAAACACCUGAAAACAGGUGCCCCGCUUUGCGUUCGGUUUACAGGUGGUGCAUGUUGUCGUCAGCUCGUGUCGUGAGAUGUUGGUUAAGUCCCGCAACGAGCGCAACCUCGUUCUAUGUUGCCAGCGCGUUAUGCGGGACUCAUAGAGACUGCGGUCAACUCGAGAGUGGACGACGUCAAUCAUCAUGCCCUAAUGUCUUGGCUCAGCAUGCUACAUGCGGUACAGGCUGCGAUACUGUAGUGAGCUAAUCCUAAGCCGUCUCAGUCGAAUGGUCUGCACUCGAACUCAUGAAGU